UUUAACCUUCGGGGUGAGGUGUAAUUCCUCGAUCGGUGGUGAAAGCCCACGACUCUCCGCCCUUGGCGGAGACUGAACCUGUGAAACUCAGGUGCCGACGGUUAAAGUCCGGAUGGUAGAAGGUUAGA
Molecule: non-coding RNA, 128 nt
Filed under: Candidatus Zhuqueibacterota
Lineage: Bacteria; Pseudomonadati
Description: Candidate division FMN sequence
Rfam family: FMN riboswitch aptamer (RFN element)
About the family: The RFN element is a highly conserved domain that is found frequently in the 5'-untranslated regions of prokaryotic mRNAs that encode for flavin mononucleotide (FMN) biosynthesis and transport proteins. This element is a metabolite-dependent riboswitch that directly binds FMN in the absence of proteins.
Source: RNAcentral